Molecule: non-coding RNA, 25 nt
Filed under: Cricetulus griseus (Chinese hamster)
Lineage: Eukaryota; Metazoa; Chordata; Mammalia; Rodentia; Cricetidae
Source: RNAcentral
AAAUGGUGAUUGUGAGGACUUAAGC